AAGCCGAACAAAACACCUACGUAGAAACCAUGGCAACAUUGUUUCCGGCGGAGUCGACUGCUCCCCUGCGCCCCCUCUCGUCAGAUUCCCCCAGCCUCUGCCCCGGACUGUACACCUGACCGAGCACAAUGCUGGUGGUCUUAAAGUCCCUGCAAAGCUGGUUCCUCGUCUGCCCCGCCCUGCAGGUCUGAGGACACAGAUGCUUUGAGAUCUGUCCUCCGAGAAAAAAACCAGCUUCAAACCCCUCAUCCACUUAAAAACUCAAGGAAAGAAAUGAACAAGCCAUGCGUUUCCUAUAAAAAUCAUCUGCCCAGGCAUUUCACUACAUAAAGUGAAAUUACGAAAUAAAGAACUGGGAAACACCUGCA
This is a long non-coding RNA of Suricata suricatta (meerkat), 368 nucleotides long. RefSeq lists it as uncharacterized. Lineage: Eukaryota; Metazoa; Chordata; Mammalia; Carnivora; Herpestidae. The record is from RefSeq and is a predicted model, not a curated record. The transcript has 2 exons.